RNAcentral lists this long non-coding RNA (649 nucleotides) under Takifugu rubripes (torafugu). RNAcentral describes it as "lncRNA (ENSTRUG00000028248.1)". The record is from RNAcentral. Lineage: Eukaryota; Metazoa; Chordata; Actinopteri; Tetraodontiformes; Tetraodontidae.
UUCCCGAUGUGCCCCCCCCCUCCAUUUGCGGAGGAAUGUUUGGGCGAGCCGAGUCUUCUUGUUAAUGUAAAUAAUUUACCUUCGCCUUUAUCCUGAUGGAAUCUUAAUUGGGCCUCUCCAGGCUGCCUCGCUGCAAUUCAUCAACGUCUGGCUUGUCUGGGGAAAGAUGCAGUGCCGCUUUCGUCAAAUGCAGCUGUCAACUGUGACGCCAUCGUCUGGGACGAGGGCUCUUUCCAGGAAGUGAGAAUUAGCAGGACAAGCUUGACAUUUCGGGAGACGUGCUCAUUUGCUCCUGGAGACAGUCGACUUUCUCAAGAGAGGUUCCCAGCACCUUCAGAUGACUGGAGCUUCAGGAGCAGCUGGUUCUGAUGGUCUAGACUCCAGACACAUAGGUAAUUCUCUACCAGUACUACCUCCACGAGCGACCGGUAGAUCGCGAUCGCCGUAAUGAGCCCCCCUGGUCUAGAGAGGUUUAAGGCAGCAGGAAGACGCCCAGGCAAUAUGAAGUGAGCUGAAAUAAUGUGGCCACAAACAAUUUCCUUUUAAAGAAAUGAAUCAAAAAAGACCAAAUGGUGUUUUUCGAGGCUUGGGAACACAUAUUCCAGCACUCUGAUGUUCUGAUGAAGCGAUUAAAAAGAUCUAUAAAGAG